GCUUACAGCCAUCCCACACUGAGCACGCCUGAUCUCAUACGAUCUCGGAAGCUAAGCAGUGCUGGGCCUGGUUAGUACUUGGAUGGGAGACCAACUGGGAAUACCAGGUGCUGUAAGCU
Molecule: ribosomal RNA, 119 nt
Filed under: Clupea harengus (Atlantic herring)
Lineage: Eukaryota; Metazoa; Chordata; Actinopteri; Clupeiformes; Clupeidae
Source: RNAcentral